GCNNGNUACGAUUCGCCCUUGAGUUUGAUCAUGGCUCAGGACGAACGUUGGCGACGUGCCUAACACAUGCAAGUCGAGCGAAGUGCUUAUGAUGAAUUCUUCGGAAUGAUUCAUAAACCACUUAGCGGCGGAUGGGUGAGUAACGCGUGAGGAACCUGCCUAGUACAAGGGGAUAGCCUCGGGAAACCGGGAUUAAUACCCUAUGACACUUAAGAUCCGCAUGGAUUUUAAGUCAAAGCGCUUUAGCGGUAUUAGAUGGCCUCGCGUCCCAUUAGCUAGUUGGUAAGGUAAAAGCUUACCAAGGCGACGAUGGGUAGCCGGCUUGAGAGAGUGAACGGCCACACUGGAACUGAGACACGGUCCAGACUCCUACGGGAGGCAGCAGUGGGGAAUCUUGCACAAUGGAGGGAACUCUGAUGCAGCGGCGUCGCGUGAACGAUGAAGGCUUUCGAGUCGUAAAGUUCUGUCCUAUGGGACGAUAAUGACGGUACCAUAGGAGGAAGCCCCGGCUAACUACGUGCCAGCAGCCGCGGUAAUACGUAGGGGGCGAACGUUGUCCGGAAUUAUUGGGCGUAAAGGGUACGCAGGCGGCCAAAUAAGUCAGAUGUGAAAUCCCAAGGCUUAACCUUGGUAAGCAUUUGAAACUGUAUGGCUUGAGUUAAGGAGAGGAAAGUGGAAUUCCUGGUGUAGCGGUGAAAUGCGUAGAUAUCAGGAGGAAUACCAGUGGCGAAGGCGACUUUCUGGACUUAAACUGACGCUGAGGUACGAAAGCGUGGGGAGCAAACAGGAUUAGAUACCCUGGUAGUCCACGCCGUAAACGAUGAGUGCUAGGUGUCGGGUGUCAAGCUCG
Molecule: ribosomal RNA, 850 nt
Filed under: uncultured bacterium
Lineage: Bacteria
Description: bacterial SSU rRNA
Rfam family: Bacterial small subunit ribosomal RNA
Source: RNAcentral